RNAcentral lists this ribosomal RNA (705 nucleotides) under Triticum aestivum (bread wheat). RNAcentral describes it as "partial small subunit ribosomal RNA". The record is from RNAcentral. Lineage: Eukaryota; Viridiplantae; Streptophyta; Magnoliopsida; Poales; Poaceae.
AUGGCGUUACACAAAUCUAAUGUGUCUUGUGCGAAGCUAUUGAUUCAGGGUGGAGCUAAUGUGAGCAGUGCUGGCCCUUGUUAUAAUCCCUUGGUAACGGCUGCAGAGAAGGGCUUAACUGAAGCUAUCAAGUGCUUGUUGGAAGCUGGUGCAAAUCCAAAUGUUCUUGACCAGUUUGGUAGAUUGCCAAUAGAAUUGGCUGCUGAGUAUGGUACACGGGAAGACGUUGAGAUGCUCUUUCCUUCCACCUUGCCAAUUUCAACUGUGACAAAAUGGAGCGUUGACGGUAUCGUUAGUCAUGUGAAGAUGGAAAUCAAGCAGCUUGAGGAUGACAAUUUUGUCCAAACGAGGGCUUCUGACCUGAAACAACAAGGGGAUGAAGCAUUUAAGAAGCAGGAUUAUCUGAAUGCAUCAGUGUUCUACACACAGGAUCUGAAGAUGGAUAACUUCGACGCGAAGUUGUUAUCAAACAGGAGUCUUUGCUGGCUUCGCAUGGGUAAUGGGGAAAGGGCUUUUGGUGAUGCACAUGAAUGCAUAGCGCUUUGCCCGAAAUGGGCAAAGGCACACUAUCGGCUAGGCGCAGCUUUUAUGUUUAUGGAGGAUUACAACGGUGCCUAUCAGUCUCUCUCUCGCGCAUUAGAGCUGGACCCUGAAAGUAAGGAGGUCGAGAAAUUAUUCUGGGAGGCAAUGGAACUAAUGAGUUAG